RNAcentral lists this non-coding RNA (169 nucleotides) under Acetivibrio ethanolgignens. The record is from RNAcentral. Lineage: Bacteria; Bacillati; Bacillota; Clostridia; Acetivibrionales; Acetivibrionaceae.
CAUCGUGAGGUGGAAUCUGAAGGAAGUCGGAUGCUCAAACCUCUGGUCUGACGAACAGAAAUCACAUAUAAGGCAUGGCAUAUCGGGUAAGGUUGCUACACAAACUAAAGUCCUAUAACUAUCCGAAGAUAUGCUGUGUAAAUGUGGCAGAUAGGUGGAGGAAAAGAUU